AAUAACUCUAUUUUUUAGUUUUUUGAUACAAUAUUUUGACUGUUCGUAUUAUUUGAAAUUUUUUGGGAUUAAUAUUUUUAUUGUUACUAAAUGAUCAAAUAUGAAUAGUACUUGAUGCGUGACUAAUUUUUUUUAGUUUUUUAUAAUUUUUUUAAAUAAGACGAAUGGUCAAACGUUUGACAUGGAAAAACCAAAA
RNAcentral lists this microRNA precursor (196 nucleotides) under Oryza brachyantha (malo sina). Its description in RNAcentral is "MIR812 microRNA precursor family". It matches the Rfam family "MIR812 microRNA precursor family". Lineage: Eukaryota; Viridiplantae; Streptophyta; Magnoliopsida; Poales; Poaceae. The record is from Rfam by way of RNAcentral.